Molecule: RNase P RNA, 304 nt
Filed under: uncultured Eubacterium sp.
Lineage: Bacteria; Bacillati; Bacillota; Clostridia; Eubacteriales; Eubacteriaceae
Description: Bacterial RNase P class A
Rfam family: Bacterial RNase P class A
About the family: Ribonuclease P (RNase P) is a ubiquitous endoribonuclease, found in archaea, bacteria and eukarya as well as chloroplasts and mitochondria. Its best characterised activity is the generation of mature 5'-ends of tRNAs by cleaving the 5'-leader elements of precursor-tRNAs.
Source: RNAcentral
GCCGGGUGAGGAAAGUCCGGGCUUCACAGGGCAGGAUGCCGGAUAACGUCCGGCGGAGGCGACUCCCGGGAAAGUGCAACAGAAAUAUACCGCCGGCUUCGGCCGGUAAGGGUGAAAUGGCGAGGUAAGAGCUCACCGCUGUUCUGGUAACAGGACAGGCUCUGUAAACCCCAUCCGAAGCAAGACCAAGAUCGAGCUACAGGGCUGCCCGCUCUGCUCAUGGUAGGUUGCUUGAGCCGUAUGGUAACAUACGGUCUAGAUAGAUGAUCACCCACGACAUAACCCGGCUUAUCGUUCUGCUCGG